Trichosurus vulpecula (common brushtail) is the source of this 108-nucleotide small nuclear RNA. Lineage: Eukaryota; Metazoa; Chordata; Mammalia; Diprotodontia; Phalangeridae. The record is from RefSeq and is a predicted model, not a curated record.
GUGCUCACUUCAGCAGCACAUAUACUAAAAUCAGAACCAUACAGAUAAGAUUAACAUGGCCCCUGCAUGAGGAUGACAACUCAAAUUUGCGAAGUGUUCCAUAUGAAA